GGAAAACAGUGCCGUACAGCACCAUACACACUGCCUGCGGCGCCCCUUCAGGCAUUGACCUGCCCAUUCGGGCGCCUGCUCACACGCCCUUGGCGCCCCCCUCAAAGCCUAGCACGACACACCUCCCCAAAGCCCUCAGCACUUUCCGGUGCUGUCUGUGAUGUUUAUCCCCCAAGCGCCAGCGGCUUCAGCGCAAAGCCA
RNAcentral lists this long non-coding RNA (201 nucleotides) under Volvox carteri. Its description in RNAcentral is "long non-coding RNA (VCAR_LNC002897)". Lineage: Eukaryota; Viridiplantae; Chlorophyta; Chlorophyceae; Chlamydomonadales; Volvocaceae. The record is from RNAcentral.